RNAcentral lists this ribosomal RNA (1357 nucleotides) under uncultured Bordetella sp. Its description in RNAcentral is "partial 16S-23S ribosomal RNA intergenic spacer". It matches the Rfam family "Bacterial small subunit ribosomal RNA". Lineage: Bacteria; Pseudomonadati; Pseudomonadota; Betaproteobacteria; Burkholderiales; Alcaligenaceae. The record is from RNAcentral.
GCAGCACGGGAAUUCGGUCUGGUGGCGAGUGGCGAACGGGUGAGUAAUGUAUCGGAACGCCUAGUAGCGUUAACCAUGAAAGCGUAGCCAAUACCGAUGCCCCUUCGGGAAAGCGGGGGACCUUCGGGCCUCGCACUAUUAGAGCGGCCGAUAUCGGAUGAAGUGUUGGUGGCACCGUGGCUCACCAAGGCGACGAUCCGUAGCUGGUUUGAGAGGACGACCAGCCACAUCGGGACUGAGACACGGCCCAGACUCCUACGGGAGGCAGCAGUGGGGGAAUUUUGGACAAUGGGAACCCCUGAUCCAGCCAUCCCGCGUGUGCGAUGAAGGCCUUCGGGUUGUAAAGCACUUUUGGCAGGAAGAAACGGCAUCGAUAAUAGCUCCCGUGCAACUGACGGUACCUGCAGAAUAAGCACCGGCUAACUACGUGCCAGCAGCCGCGGUAAUACGUAGGGUGCAAGCGUUAACGAACUACUGGCGCAAAGCGUGCGCAGGCGGUUCGGAAAGAAAGAUGUGAAAUCCCAGAGCUUAACUUUGAACUGCAUUUUUACCUGCCAGAUCAGAGGUGCCGAGAAGAACCCGCGUAGCAGUAGAAAUGCAGAUAUGCGAGGAACGAUGGCGAAGCAGUUCUGGGAUACACUGAUGCUCAUGGCAAUGUGGUAUAAAACAGGAUUAUACUGUCUACACGAAAACGAUGUCAACCAGCUGUUAGGCGCUCUCUGGGCCUUGGUAGCGGCAGCUAACGCGUGAAGUUGACCGCCUGGGGAGUACGGUCGCAAGAUUAAAACCGCGAAUUGACGGGGACCUGCACAAGCGGAUGAUGUGGGAUUAAUUCGAUGCAACGCGAAAAACCUUACCUACCCUUGGAUAUACGUCUGGAAUCCCGAAGAGAUUUGGGGAGGUGCUCGCAAGAGAACCGGAACACAGGUGCUGCAUGGCUGUCGUCAGCUCGGGUCGAGAUGUUGGGUUAAGUCCCGCAAUGAGCGCAGCCCUUGUCAUUAGUUGCUACGAAAGGGCACUCUGAAUGACUGCCGGUGACAAACCGGAGGAAGGUGGGGAUGACGUCGUCUCGCAUUCUUAUGGGUAGGGUUUCCACACGUCAUACAAUGGUCGGGACAGAGGGUCGCCAACCCGCGAGGGGAGCCAAUCCCAGAAACCCGAUCGUAGUCCGAUCGCGGUCUGCAACUCGACUGCGAAGUCGGAAUCGCUAGCACCGCGGAUCAGUAUGUCGCGGUGAAUGAUGUUCGGUCUGUACACACCGCCCGUCACACCAUGUGGCGGGUUUUACUCAGAAGUAGUUAGCCUAACCGUUAGUGAAUACCGUGAUUCAUGACUUGGGGUGAAGUCGUAACAAGGU